GUGGCAGGGAGGGGAUAUCUGUCUCCUACAAGGAGAAGGUGUGACGGCAACCUCAGGAAGGGAGCUUUCAAGUACUGUCCUUUGGCCAGUGAACACGAUCUCUGUUUUGCCAGCCUCACGACUAACAGACCUUCUGUCUCAAAGAAUGAAAAAGAAAUUGCCAGGUGAAAGUUACUGAACUGGGGAAAUACCAAGCCCUGCUCAAAUGUGCCAUUGAAAUCAAGGAUGUCGGUCUUCCUGUCUGCAGGGGAACUGGACCGGCAUGUGAAGUCUGCGUGCUAGGACCUGGCAGGACCCCGCUCGGAGCAAGGACUCGCCUGCCCAGGGAAGCAGAGGGCAUC
RNAcentral lists this long non-coding RNA (341 nucleotides) under Struthio camelus australis. Its description in RNAcentral is "lncRNA (ENSSCUG00000013648.1)". The record is from RNAcentral. Lineage: Eukaryota; Metazoa; Chordata; Aves; Struthioniformes; Struthionidae.